Long non-coding RNA from Eriocheir sinensis (Chinese mitten crab), 2460 nucleotides. RefSeq lists it as uncharacterized. Lineage: Eukaryota; Metazoa; Arthropoda; Malacostraca; Decapoda; Varunidae. The record is from RefSeq and is a predicted model, not a curated record. The transcript is spliced from 2 exons.
CAAACUGCUUUAACAAUAUCUUGACUAUUACUGAAAGAAUAGGAGAUGGAAUAAUUGUAUACUGUGUUAUUUCAAGGCUUUUAUACACCAGGCAGAGAGGUGACGAGGAUAACACUGACACUGUAUUCUUAGUUCUGGAAGAUUAAAACAUGGGAUUAGUAUUACAUGGUUGUUUAAGACUUUCAUAGACCCAGGAACAGCCAGCAGUACAGUGUGUUCAAGUGUUGCUGCCAGGCCAACACUGUGUUCUUGAGGGAGAGAAGGGGGAUUAAUUCAAAACAUUUCUGGUGUCUCUUAACCCGGUAGCAGCGACGGGCCAAAUUUGUGCCAUGAUAUAAACCCCCAAAAUAGAUGAUGCAUAAACUGAUUACAAAUGCUUUGAUAUAUAUUAUGAAAUGGUUUGCGUAAGUGAUGAUUUUUCUCGUUUUUCUUAUUAUUAUUAAGAAACCUGAUCCCCGCUGGCUGCUACCGGGUUAACAAUGCAAAUCUGGGACAUUAAGUUAUUGUAUUGUGUUAUUGAAGGCUUUUGUUGACCAGGACAUUUGUGAAGAAGGUGAUGGACUGAGGCUGUUUUGCGAUCUCUUGAGAAUUAAUGGAAGAAUUGGAUACAGAAUUAUUAUACUGUAUGAAUUAUUGAAGGCUUGAGUUAGAUCAGAGAGUGGGAUGAAAAGGGUAAGUUAUCAAACCCUUACUGUGUUAUUGAAGGCUUUUGUAGACCAGGACAUUUGUGAAGAAGGUGAUUUAUUGAAGCCAUUUUGCAAUCUCUUGAGAAUUGAUGGACACAGAAUUAUUUUAUUGUAUGUUAUUGAAGGCUUGAGUUAGAUCAGAGAGAAGGGGGAAAAGGGUAAAUUAUCAAACCAUUAUCAUUACUAACCAUUACUAUCAUGAAACCUUAUUACUGAACAUUAAGAGCCCUUUCACACGGAUUAGCCUUGAUCAGUAUUGCAACAUGGAUCGCGGGACACACAAGAAGAGGAUAGCGCUGUGUUUCAUAAUAGUAGUGUGCACAAAGAGGAAAGAGAAAAGGCAGAAGACAUGGUGCAAAGACUGGCUACACAGAUGAGCAGCUUUAGGGAAUCAUGUGACAAUAUUACGGAAACUUAAACAUGGACUGGAAGUAGAUUUCGUCAACUACAAGAAUGGGUGCAAGACUGGACACAGCGCCUUCACCACAAACCCACCGCCCAGCCCUGACGACCAACAGGGUGAGCCGAGAAAGACUUACUCAUUUGGACGGAGCCUUUAGACGCGGGAUUAUUAUUGUGUGUUAUGGAAAGCCUAUUUUGGACCAGAUAGAGGGAUUAAUAGGGUAAAUUAUUGAAGCAUUAUUUCCUGUUAUAAUUGAGUGUUGGUUAGGUGAUUAGAGACUUAACAGAUUAGAACACAAGAAUUAUUAGUGUGUUAUUGAAAACUCAGACCAGAACAGAAGGAUAUAUGAAACUAUUAUUAUUAUUAUUAUUAUUAUUAUUAUUAUUAUUAUUUGUUAAGUGAUCUCAGACACACGCAGGGCUAGGAAGUGAAGGCUUGUUCUUAGAUGACAUAGACAGCAGUGCAAUGUUAAGUGCUAAUGACCAACACCCCGUUUUCUUUUUAAGUCAGGGAUGAAGAGGGUAACUUAUUUUAAGGGAUUUUUCUGUGUUGUUGAUUUGACGAGGUUUGUUCGUGUGUGUGUGUGUGUGUGUGUGUGUGUGUGUGUGUGUGUGUGUGUUUGUUUCAGUGAGUUGAGAUGGAAGGAAGUUGUCAGUCUUUUUUCUUUAUUUUCUUCCUCUUUUUCUUCUUCUUUCUCUUCUUCUUCCUUCUCUUCCUCCUCCUCCUCCUCCUCUUCCUACUUCCUCUCUUUCUUUGUUUUUCCUCAUUCUUUUUUUUUUUUCUUUUUUUUUUCUUGUCUUCUCUGUUUAUCUCUGUGUGUUUCCUCCUCCUCCUCCUCUUCCUCCUCCUCCUCCUCCUCCUCCUUCUCCAAAGUAAAGAAUAAUAAUAAAAAAAAUCAAUGAGAACUUAAAGAUGAAUUUUUUCUCUAUCUAAUUCUUUUUUCUUUCUUUCUUUCUUCACUCGCUGGAACGGACAUACGAACAAACAAACAAACGACAGCGGACCCCAAACAGACUUACUGACAAACUACUUAAUCUCCCUCACACACACACACACACACACACACACACACACACACACACACACACACACACACACACACAAAUCGUCGUCGUGUAAGUUUUCCACUCGCACAAAUUAAAAAGAUUAAAAAAGCUUGUGUACGCGUGUCCGUGUGUGUGCGUGUCUGUCUGAGUGUGUGUGCGCGUGUGUGCGUUGCCUCUCGACUGCCAUUCACUCGCUCGUCUCCGGUUUUAGAAUGUCCGUCUGUCUGUCUGUCUGUCCGUCUGUCUGUGAACGGAUGAACGGGAACGACAUUGACGGAACAAAAAACAAAAAAAUGAUUCUAUAUAUAAAACUGAAAGAACAAAA